UUUAUAAAAAUAGGUUUUCUCAAGAGAGGGAAUUGUGCUGGUUGCAGCUGCUGCUGUGGCUGCAUUUAGUCUUCACUUCUGGGUUAUCUCUGUAUCCAAGCAGGUGCCAGGGGCACUACUGAGUUGUUCCACAACAUUGAUACAUGCAUCUUGCAUUAUGCUGUGUUUAUACUGCUUCUUAUCCAUGAAGGUUUUUUAGUAUGAAAUUGUAGAAGUGCUUUUUAUCUCACUUUAAAAAAAAAAAAAAGGGGGCGGGACACACAGCAAAGAUUAUCUUGUACAGUUUGGGGUUUGUUUGGAUGAAUUGAAUGUUUCCCAAGAAAAACACACCAUAACUUUCUGGUUUUUUCCUCCAUCUUGCUUGUGUCCAUAUUGAGCCUGUGUAGGUUUUGGAGACUUUUUCCCCCCAAUUUUUGGGCCACCUUGCCUUCUGAUGUCACACAGAUCAACCCAGGAUGACAGGACACAUGGAAGACUUGUGUCCACAAAUUCCAUGUGCAACCUGCCCAGAGAGCUCUGAAUUGCUUUGCACAGCUCUGACCAAGGACUGAUGAUGGGCAUGUGAUUUUUAAGAAACAGAUCAGUAUCAGACUGGAAAUGUGUUGAGGCACACCUGUUCAUUACUACUUUCCCUUAAAUGGCCUGUUUUCUGUACAGCAUCACUCCUGGGACUCUAGCAGGGGCAGUUUUAAGGCAGAAGAUGAUUGUAAAUAAAUUUUCAGAGGUGUUUUGGAGAGUCCCUUAUUGCUGUCGGAGGUGGCUGUUGGAAAAUUCCUUUGGGAGGGUGACUUGCAUGCUUUGUUGUAAGAGUGACUCCAGAAUUAAGGAGCAUUGGCAAGUGCAGUGAGAUGAGUCUGAGGCUGUGGAUCACAUGUAACUGUUUCCUCCCUGCUGUCUUUUAGGAUGAAAUUCGCAGGGAGAUGGUUUAUGUGUAUCAUUCCUUAAGGAACAGGAGAGACACUCCCAUGAUGGGGACAGAUGACACUGCCAGUGAGGAUGGCACGGCCCAGCAGACUCACGGGCUGCGCUUUCCUUUGUCAUACUUGGAAGCACUGAAGCAGAUUUGGAGUAGCAGCACUGUUCAUGUUAAAGAGCUUAACCUCACCUCAGAUGAAGAGAAGGAAAACCUUGCCUUGUCCCUGUGGAGUGAAUGUCUGAUUGAAGUUCUUUGAUGCUUCUGUGAAUUAGCUGCUCCUCUAAAGGAGUGUUUCUGUCUAUUAAGCAUCUCCUGAGAGCGAGGCUUAUUAAAUUACUUUUUUAUCCA
Molecule: long non-coding RNA, 1264 nt
Organism: Pseudopipra pipra
Lineage: Eukaryota; Metazoa; Chordata; Aves; Passeriformes; Pipridae
Exons: 2
Source: RefSeq, a predicted model, not a curated record